CCUACGGGAGGCUGCAGUGGGGAAUAUUGCACAAUGGGCGCAAGCCUGAUGCAGCCAUGCCGCGUGUGUGAAGAAGGCCUUCGGGUUGUAAAGCACUUUCAGCGGGGAGGAAGGCGUUAAGGUUAAUAACCUUGUCGAUUGACGUUACCCGCAGAAGAAGCACCGGCUAACUCCGUGCCAGCAGCCGCGGUAAUACGGAGGGUGCAAGCGUUAAUCGGAAUUACUGGGCGUAAAGCGCACGCAGGCGGUCUGUCAAGUCGGAUGUGAAAUCCCCGGGCUCAACCUGGGAACUGCAUUCGAAACUGGCAGGCUAGCGUCUUGUAGAGGGGGGUAGAAUUCCAGGUGUAGCGGUGAAAUGCGUAGAGAUCUGGAGGAAUACCGGUGGCGAAGGCGGCCCCCUGGACAAAGACUGACGCUCAGGUGCGAAAGCGUGGGGAGCAAACAGGAUUAGAUACCCCUGUAGUC
RNAcentral lists this ribosomal RNA (465 nucleotides) under uncultured Klebsiella sp. RNAcentral's name for it is "bacterial SSU rRNA". It matches the Rfam family "Bacterial small subunit ribosomal RNA", at positions 338 to 795 of the family's 1533-position model. The record is from RNAcentral. Lineage: Bacteria; Pseudomonadati; Pseudomonadota; Gammaproteobacteria; Enterobacterales; Enterobacteriaceae.